UGCGCAGGCGGGCUAAUAAGUCAGUGGUGAAAUCUUUCGGCUUAACCGGGAAACUGCCAUUGAUACUGUUAGUCUUGAGUUCGGUUGAGGUAGGCGGAAUGUGUAAUGUAGCGGUGAAAUGCUUAGAUAUUACACAGAACACCAAUUGCGUAGGCAGCUUACUAGACCGACGCCGACGCUGAGGCACGAAGCCCUGGGGCACAAACCGGAUUAGAUACCCGAGUAGUCC
This 229-nucleotide ribosomal RNA is filed under the name uncultured bacterium. RNAcentral describes it as "partial 16S ribosomal RNA". It matches the Rfam family "Bacterial small subunit ribosomal RNA", at positions 568 to 796 of the family's 1533-position model. The record is from RNAcentral.